AGAAUAUCAUGAACUUAAGAUACAUUUCAUUUUAAUAUUUGACUCUAGCAUCAUAUCGACUGCACAUCAAAUAAUGAAAAGGCAACCAGGAAACUGAAACUGUUGUCUUUUAUGAACCUACACACUAACCUUCAGAUUUGCUGGCAGUUUUAUUAAGAAGAAAGAAAGGAAGGAAGACAGAGAGAAUACCAGCAAAAAACAAUAAUAAAAAUGUUUUGGCAGGAGCACAGAAAACUAAAGGUGAAAUCUGUCUCAUUUUUCAAAACUGUGGUUCUUGAUGUCCCUUAUUGCCACACAACUUUUAUCAUUUAAUUUUGGUACACAACAAUAAAGUAUAGCCGACUAAUUUCUUGUAGCUACACUAAAUACCAAGUAGUGCUUAAAGCUAGAGUAGGUAAUGUAUUUCAGAAGCAUUUGUUGUUAUAUUUAUUGAAAUUCUAUUUACAUCGCAACAGCAAUUAAUAAAUCAAAUGCUCUGGGGAACCCGGUAUCUGUGGCUGUCGCAGGCCUGUAAUAUGCCAAGCGGCCUACCUGCCUGUCUACGCACACUCUGCCCGUGGGGAGUGGCUUUGCAGGAAGGAGGGCUGAGCACUGUGAUUUCACUGAAGAGACGUCUCAGCCACAACGGUGCAACAAUUUCCACAGCUUUUUCUAUCAGCCUUCUCUACAAACCAGUAGAGGGAGUCCAAGACUUGAAUCCUGGUCCUACCUUUUGGGCCUCAAAAACUGAAGCUUUCUACAAGCUCUCUGCCUGAGCUGCGAGUUGCAGAUUCUGCCAGAAGCUCAGCCUUUGAAUCAGAUGGUCAUCUUGCCUCCACUGCCACAGAAAAGGGCCCCUUUGGACUUGGCUGAGGUCAGCGGCGGAGGAGUACACCAUGCUGAGAGGUGUGAUGUGGCUCUGUUGGUUUGACCCACACCUGCUGCGUAUCCUUCACUCAAGCACUGGAGGGUUUCUGCAACUGAAUCAAGGAAACUUCACAACAGGCCACUAAACAAUAAAUAAAACAUAUCAAUGUCUCCUGUCACUGUAAGUGCAGGUACCGCUGCUGCUGACGCUUCAAAUCUGCUGCCUGCAGUGCACCACAGAUGUAUCA
This is a long non-coding RNA of Siniperca chuatsi (mandarin fish), 1094 nucleotides long. RefSeq lists it as uncharacterized. The record is from RefSeq and is a predicted model, not a curated record. The transcript has 6 exons. Lineage: Eukaryota; Metazoa; Chordata; Actinopteri; Centrarchiformes; Sinipercidae.